Leptonychotes weddellii (Weddell seal) is the source of this 1967-nucleotide non-coding RNA. The record is from RefSeq and is a predicted model, not a curated record. Lineage: Eukaryota; Metazoa; Chordata; Mammalia; Carnivora; Phocidae.
ACUCCUGUAGUUCCCAGACUGGCUCCUUGUUAGGUACAGAUUCCCGGGCCUGCGUUGUUAGAGCUCCGAGGCUGGGAGCCUGGAAUCUAUAUGGACAAGCACCGAAGCUGGAAGCCGAGAAGCUAAGUCCUGACUUGGGGAUACAGAAGCGAGGGUGUGUGUGGCCAGCAGAGAAGGAAACCAAGGCUGAGACAGAGUCAAAGUCACGGACAGCCACACAGGGGCAGGCCCCUGGAGCGAAGACCCUCUGCACAGGGUGGGGAGCACGACGUCGGGAAGGCCAGAACAAGCAGCCAUGAAGUCCUCACGAAUCGUGACUUAGCCCGCGUGAGAGCACAGAUUCAGAAACACGCUCACGGCAGGCUGGAACCCUGCAGAAAAUAUCCCAAGACAAACAGCCCGGGGUGGGGGAUAGGGCCCUGCGCCGGGACCGGGUAUGAAUCCCAGCUCUGUCAUCUCUAACCCACUGUGUCAUCCCAGACACGUCCCUUCCUCGCCCUGGCCUCAGUUUCCCUGCCAGUGAACUACGUGGGAGGGACUCCGACGCCCCCGGGGCCACAGAACUCACCUGAGGCUGGCUGAGGCCGGGGUGCCUGAGGCUGUUUCCCUGGGAGAUGGGGCCUGUGUCCUGCUCCUGGCCGGCACACUGGAGAACAUUUGCUCUCCUGACCAACAGACAGCCCAUCCCUCCUCCACCCUCACCCCCUCGCCAUCCCCAAAGCAAACGAAGCUGAUUGUCUUAGCCGGCCCUGCGGGUGCUGGCGGGUGGCUAGCCACAGGCCACAGGCGGAGGUGCCACCCGCCAGAGCCCCGCCAGACACACAGGGCAUUGUCCCUCAGUCAACAGCCCCUGGGCACCUUGGCCCGGCUCCUGGCCUGCCCCCACGCCCCUCGCCGCCUGCCACUGCGCCAGGCCCAGCCAGCUGGGGGCCCGAGGCUCCCAGCUGAUGACGAGCCCACCCAGCCACCCCCCAGCAGCCCCCUGACGAGCUAUAAUUGCUUCGCUCCAUCCUGUUGCUGCCAUUCUCUUGGCGAAGGCAUCUGGGGUUCCAGGCGGGCGGCAGCUGCAGGCCAGCCGCCUGGCUCGCGGGAUGGACUGGCCGCACAACCUGAGGCGAGUUCUCCCUCGGCCGUCUCCCCCAGGGUGAGAGAGAAACAGAGACUGGUCUCAGAGCCUGCAGCCAUGGCCAGCAGCUCGGGCUCCUGAACCGGGCUCAGCCCGUCCGCAGUGAGGCCCUUUCAGGCCGAAGCCAUCGGGGCAGAUCCGGGCAAACUCCGUUACCAGGGGUUUUUCCAAAGAGUCCCCGGGGUCCUGAGAUCCGGGCCGGGUGACCUUGGGCGAGUCCUUUUUGAUUCUUUUUCCCAGGGAAGGGGACUUUGAUUCUGUUCUGGCUUUCUCUGAAUGCAGAGCCAGAGUUUCAGAACCCCACGGGAGACGCUCAGAUGGGAAAGCCAACGGUUAAGGAGACAUUUUUCUGCGCCGGGAUCCAGGACCAAAAAGGAAGAAUUUAGCGACUUGAGUCUCUGUGGUGCAUUUGGGGCCGGGCACUGGUGUUGCCAGGAGGGGCUAUGCUGAAACUUGUUUCCAAGGGUCAAGCCUUGCUGGGUAGCCUGGGUAGUUCAGGCACGGGCCGUGCAGGUGGUGAGGCGAGUGACUCAGGGCAGGUAGGAGCCUGGUUAGAUUCAGGGGCCAGAUGAAACCCUCCUGAAGGUUCCUCCCUCUGGCGAGCCCUGGGCCCCACCCACGUUCUGGUCUGUCUCCCGGGCUUGCUGAGGAGUCUGGGUUCUGCCAGGCCCCCGGGGCUUCUCCUGAGCAAGCCAGAGCCUUUCCCGACGCUCCCGGUUCCGUGGGAACAGGAGGACGACGGUUGGAUACAACUGUUCCUUCUCACCCUCUCCAUCUUCCUGGGGCUGGGCCAGCCCAGGAACCCCAAAGGCAAGAGGAAGGGGCCAGGGCGGCCUGGCAC